UACGUAGGUGGCGAGCGUUGUCCGGAUUUACUGGGCGUAAAGGGAGCGUAGGCGGACUUUUAAGUGAGAUGUGAAAUACCCGGGCUCAACUUGAGUGCUGCAUUUCAAACUGGAAGUCUAGAGUGCAGGAGAGGAGAAUGGAAUUCCUAGUGUAGCGGUGAAAUGCGUAGAGAUUAGGAAGAACACCAGUGGCGAAGGCGAUUCUCUGGACUGUAACUGACGCUGAGGCUCGAAAGCGUGGGGAGCAAACAGG
This 253-nucleotide ribosomal RNA is filed under the name uncultured bacterium. RNAcentral describes it as "partial 16S ribosomal RNA". It matches the Rfam family "Bacterial small subunit ribosomal RNA", at positions 524 to 776 of the family's 1533-position model. The record is from RNAcentral.